Molecule: long non-coding RNA, 268 nt
Organism: Sinocyclocheilus grahami
Lineage: Eukaryota; Metazoa; Chordata; Actinopteri; Cypriniformes; Cyprinidae
Exons: 3
Source: RefSeq, a predicted model, not a curated record
AACGGAUUUUGGAACCUGGUAUUCCGGGGAUUUGUUACUGAAGAAGUGAGGACAGAUGUGAAGAGACAAACCUGGAACCAAUUAGAGCAGGAGGAGCCCAUCCACCAGUCCACCAGAGGCACUUUCGGUGUGGAGACUGAGGCAGGUGCUACUGUCGCUCCUCUGGAGAAGUAAUCAACAGCACCUCUGUUCUAAGUGGACAGCAGGAUAAAGAUGACGGCCAGGGUGUUGAAGGACCAGCGGCCGUUCAUGGUCAUCUCUCAGCCCU